GUCAUCUAAUUAGUGACGCG
RNAcentral lists this non-coding RNA (20 nucleotides) under Arabidopsis thaliana (thale cress). Lineage: Eukaryota; Viridiplantae; Streptophyta; Magnoliopsida; Brassicales; Brassicaceae. RNAcentral also lists the same sequence under 1 other name. The record is from RNAcentral.